AACGUAAAUGGGAUGCAUACUAGUUGAAAAUAAUGUAACACAGAGCAACAGUGAACAAUAAUGUGCAGAGAAGUGAGCAAUAGUAUGUAGAGAGAAGCAGAGAGCAAGGCAGCAAUAUACAAAGAGGUGAGCAGCAGGUAGACCAAAGUAAGCAACACAAUAGAGGCCAGCAGGGUGGUAAAAGUAACCAGGAUCACUCAAUCUUGGCUUGUAGCCAAUUGAGUGAUUAGCAUUCAAAGGAAAGUGAAAGAAGUUGAGUAAAAAACAGUGGGGAGAACCAAAUAUGUUUUUGUAAAAGAGAGAGAGUUCAU
This 311-nucleotide long non-coding RNA is filed under the name Nicotiana benthamiana. Its description in RNAcentral is "long non-coding RNA (NBEN_LNC016587)". The record is from RNAcentral. Lineage: Eukaryota; Viridiplantae; Streptophyta; Magnoliopsida; Solanales; Solanaceae.